Molecule: long non-coding RNA, 442 nt
Organism: Herpailurus yagouaroundi (jaguarundi)
Lineage: Eukaryota; Metazoa; Chordata; Mammalia; Carnivora; Felidae
Exons: 2
Source: RefSeq, a predicted model, not a curated record
UGCUGAAUAGAAAUGUCCCCAAAUGGAAUGACCAAAGACCACCGCUCACUGUAGAAAUGUACCAAGAGAAUGAAUGGACACUCUGCAGACUGUUCUGGAAGGAUUUCUUACACAAGUAGUAAUGAAGCGGAGGACCAGAAGAGUUCCGAUGACUUUCCCAUGUCCCCAGACCAGCUGGAAGCAUCAAGCCUUUCUGCCUUCUACUUCUUUCAUGAUAUUAUACUACGUCCUUCUCGCCGAGUGGCCGGGAAUGAGAGGCCCGAGUCAGCUUCUAAACACGUAUGUAAAUACAGACUCAAGUAGAAAAGGAUGUGUCCCAUGAACAUACAGGGGUUAUUCAGGCCAAGUCUCAUCUAAAAUUACUUUUCUGUCCUGCUCCUGUCUUUUCCCUAACUUCUCAAUCAUUUGUUCAAUAAUAAGCAUACAAAGAGAUCCUACUGUG